GACGAACGCUGGCGGCGUGCUUAACACAUGCAAGUCGAACGGAAAGGCCCUGCUUUUGUGGGGUGCUCGAGUGGCGAACGGGUGAGUAACACGUGAGUAACCUGCCCUUGACUUUGGGAUAACUUCAGGAAACUGGGGCUAAUACCGGAUAGGAGCUCCUGCUGCAUGGGGGGGGUUGGAAAGUUUCGGCGGUUGGGGAUGGACUCGGGGCUUAUCAGCUUGUUGGUGGGGUAGUGGCUUACCAAGGCUUUGACGGGUAGCCGGCCUGGGAGGGUGACCGGCCACAUUGGGACUGAGAUACGGCCCAGACUCCUACGGGAGGCAGCAGUGGGGAAUAUUGCACAAUGGGCGGAAGCCUGAUGCAGCAACGCCGCGUGCGGGAUGACGGCCUUCGGGUUGUAAACCGCUUUCGCCUGUGACGAAGCGUGAGUGACGGUAAUGGGUAAAGAAGCACCGGCUAACUACGUGCCAGCAGCCGCCGCGG
Molecule: ribosomal RNA, 484 nt
Filed under: uncultured bacterium
Lineage: Bacteria
Description: partial 16S ribosomal RNA
Rfam family: Bacterial small subunit ribosomal RNA
Source: RNAcentral